Molecule: transfer RNA, 78 nt
Filed under: Bryobacterales bacterium
Lineage: Bacteria; Pseudomonadati; Acidobacteriota; Terriglobia; Bryobacterales
Also listed under: 1 other name
Description: tRNA-Val
Rfam family: tRNA
About the family: Transfer RNA (tRNA) molecules are approximately 80 nucleotides in length. Their secondary structure includes four short double-helical elements and three loops (D, anti-codon, and T loops).
Source: RNAcentral
AGGCUCGUAGCUCAGUCUGGUUAGAGCGCUACCUUGACACGGUAGAGGUCGGCGGUUCGAGUCCGCUCGAGCCUACCA